This 433-nucleotide ribosomal RNA is filed under the name uncultured bacterium. Its description in RNAcentral is "bacterial SSU rRNA". It matches the Rfam family "Bacterial small subunit ribosomal RNA", at positions 29 to 507 of the family's 1533-position model. The record is from RNAcentral.
AACGAACGCUGGCGGCAGGCCUAACACAUGCAAGUCGAGCGCUACCUUCGGGUGGAGCGGCGGACGGGUUAGUAACGCGUGGGAAUAUACCCAGUUCUAAGGAAUAGCCACUGGAAACGGUGAGUAAUACCUUAUACGCCCUUUGGGGGAAAGAUUUAUCGGAGAAGGAUUAGCCCGCGUUAGAUUAGGUAGUUGGUGGGGUAAUGGCCUACCAAGCCUACGAUCUAUAGCUGGUUUGAGAGGAUGAUCAGCCACACUGGGACUGAGACACGGCCCAGACUCCUACGGGAGGCAGCAGUGGGGAAUCUUGCACAAUGGGGGAAACCCUGAUGCAGCGAUGCCGCGUGAGUGAAGAAGGCCCUUGGGUUGUAAAGCUCUUUCGUCGGGGAAGAAAAUGACUGUACCCGAAUAAGAAGGUCCGGCUAACUUCGUG